CUUGUGUACAAUUUGGAAAUUAGUAUGGCGUUCAUUAUCACUGAACUAGUACUAGUAUAUAUUUGUUUAGGGGCCAGCUGAAGGACGCCUCCGGGUGCGGGAAUUUCUCGCUACAUUGGAGACUUGUUGGUGACCUUCUGCUGUUGUUUUUUCGGUCGGGUUGUUGUCUCUUUGACACAUUCCCCAUUUCCAUUCUCAAUUUUAUAUACAGAUACAAAUACAGAGGAUGUCGCGGUCGUUGUUAAUGUGGAAAAUCGGGUCUCCCCUGCACUGCUUUGUUUUCAUGUGGUGGUGACAAUGAAUGAAUAUGUUUUUUUUAGCCAAAUAGUAGUAAUUUGAUUUUUUUUUUUUAGUGUUUUAGUAAUUUGAUUUUUUUUUAGUGUUUUAGUAAUUUUAUUUUGUUUUAAUCAAUCUAUCUAAAACUCUAAAUCAAAGAUGUGGAUUGAGGACUCAUUUCCUAAAUCUACGCCAUAUGUUU
RNAcentral lists this long non-coding RNA (478 nucleotides) under Mytilus galloprovincialis (Mediterranean mussel). Lineage: Eukaryota; Metazoa; Mollusca; Bivalvia; Mytilida; Mytilidae. The record is from RNAcentral.